UGCAUAGUAAGGUCCUGUAGCCGCCUCC
RNAcentral lists this non-coding RNA (28 nucleotides) under Mus musculus (house mouse). The record is from RNAcentral. Lineage: Eukaryota; Metazoa; Chordata; Mammalia; Rodentia; Muridae.